Molecule: long non-coding RNA, 364 nt
Organism: Eriocheir sinensis (Chinese mitten crab)
Lineage: Eukaryota; Metazoa; Arthropoda; Malacostraca; Decapoda; Varunidae
Exons: 2
Source: RefSeq, a predicted model, not a curated record
AAGGAAUUUGAAAAGAGUAACACAAGAAGAGGGAGUUUGAAAAGAGUUACACAAGAAUAAGGAAGUUGAAAAGAGUUACACAGAAGAAGGUAUUGAAAAGAGUAACACAGAAGAAGGUAUUGAAAAGAGUAACACAGAAGAAGGUAUUGAAAAGAGUUACACAGAAGAAGGUAUUGAAAAGAGUUACACAGAAGAAGGUAUUGAAAAGAGUUACACAGAAGAAGGUAUUGAAAAGAGUAACACAGAAGAAGGUAUUGAAAAGAGUAACACAGAAGAAGGUAUUGAAAAGAGUUACACAGAAGAAGGUAUUGAAAAGAGUUACACAGAAGAAGGAAUUUGAAAAGAGUAACACAGAAGAAGGAAU